ACGCUAGCUACAGGCUUAACACAUGCAAGCCGAGGGGCAUCAGGAAGAAAGCUUGCUUUCUUUGCUGGCGACCGGCGCACGGGUGAGUAACACGUAUCCAACCUGCCCUUUACUCGGGGAUAGCCUUUCGAAAGAAAGAUUAAUACCCGAUAGCAUAAUGAUUCCGCAUGGUUUCAUUAUUAAAGGAUUCCGGUAAAGGAUGGGGAUGCGUUCCAUUAGGUUGUUGGUGAGGUAACGGCCCACCAAGCCUUCGAUGGAUAGGGGUUCUGAGAGGAAGGUCCCCCACAUUGGAACUGAGACACGGUCCAAACUCCUACGGGAGGCAGCAGUGAGGAAUAUUGGUCAAUGGGCGCUAGCCUGAACCAGCCAAGUAGCGUGAAGGAUGAAGGCUCUAUGGGUCGUAAACUUCUUUUAUAUAAGAAUAAAGUGCAGUAUGUAUACUGUUUUGUAUGUAUUAUAUGAAUAAGGAUCGGCUAACUCCGUGCCAGCAGCCGCGGUAAUACGGAGGAUCCGAGCGUUAUCCGGAUUUAUUGGGUUUAAAGGGAGCGUAGGUGGACUGGUAAGUCAGUUGUGAAAGUUUGCGGCUCAACCGUAAAAUUGCAGUUGAUACUGUCAGUCUUGAGUACAGUAGAGGUGGGCGGAAUUCGUGGUGUAGCGGUGAAAUGCUUAGAUAUCACGAAGAACUCCGAUUGCGAAGGCAGCUCACUGGACUGCAACUGACACUGAUGCUCGAAAGUGUGGGUAUCAAACAGGAUUAGAUACCCUGGUAGUCCACACAGUAAACGAUGAAUACUCGCUGUUUGCGAUAUACAGUAAGCGGCCAAGCGAAAGCAUUAAGUAUUCCACCUGGGGAGUACGCCGGCAACGGUGAAACUCAAAGGAAUUGACGGGGGCCCGCACAAGCGGAGGAACAUGUGGUUUAAUUCGAUGAUACGCGAGGAACCUUACCCGGGCUUAAAUUGCAGUGGAAUGAUGUGGAAACAUGUCAGUGAGCAAUCACCGCUGUGAAGGUGCUGCAUGGUUGUCGUCAGCUCGUGCCGUGAGGUGUCGGCUUAAGUGCCAUAACGAGCGCAACCCUUAUCUUUAGUUACUAACAGGUUAUGCUGAGGACUCUAGAGAGACUGCCGUCGUAAGAUGUGAGGAAGGUGGGGAUGACGUCAAAUCAGCACGGCCCUUACGUCCGGGGCUACACACGUGUUACAAUGGGGGGUACAGAAGGCAGCUAGCGGGUGACCGUAUGCUAAUCCCAAAAUCCUCUCUCAGUUCGGAUCGAAGUCUGCAACCCGACUUCGUGAAGCUGGAUUCGCUAGUAAUCGCGCAUCAGCCACGGCGCGGUGAAUACGUUCCCGGGCCUUGUACACACCGCCCGUCAAGCCAUGGGAGCCGGGGGUACCUGAAGUACGUAACCGCAAGGAUCGUCCUAGGGUAAAACUGGUGACUGGGGC
RNAcentral lists this ribosomal RNA (1445 nucleotides) under uncultured organism. Its description in RNAcentral is "SSU rRNA". It matches the Rfam family "Bacterial small subunit ribosomal RNA". The record is from RNAcentral.